GGUGGUUCGCAGGUUUAGCAGAGUCCGGUCGCGUCAGCCAGGCGGUCCUAAGCCGUCCAGCCUCACCUGAUCUGGCCCGGUCCAGAAGAACCGCCCGACCGAGCCCGGACUCAUGAGCAGCAGGAACUCGGUACUGUUUUAAGUCCCACGCUGUCACAGGGAACCGGGGCGUGUGGAGACUUGUAUGGUCAGGACACUUUGGCCCGGCGUGCUGGCCCUCACGGAGCGGGAGGCGGCGGCCGAAGGUUCAAGCCGGACCCGCACGAGGGUGGAGGAGCAGGGCUGCUCAGGCUUGGCCGUGAGCAGCCCACGUCCCAGUCACGAAGAAUUCCGAAUGGGACACCGGUGUUCUCAACUCGAGCACUUUGAAUGCAUCCUCUCUCUAUCUCCUGGCCUUCGUGGGUUUGCUGAGAAAUCCUCUCCCAGCCUUAUGGGGAUUCCCUUGUAGGUGGAGAAGAGGAUGUGAAGAUAGAGCUGAGAGAGAUCUGAAGAUGCUGGCACUGAAGAUUGGAGAGAUGUGGCCAUGAGCCAAGGAAUGCUAACAGCCACCAGAACCUGAAAGAGGCAAGGGAUGGAUUCCUUCCUAGAGCCUCUAGAGGGAGCACCGCACUGACCACACCUUGAUUUUGGCCCCGUGAGACUGAUUUCAGACUUCUGUCCUCCAGAACUGUCAAGAUUGCUGUACCAGUAGAGCAACAUGACAGCUUAAUGUGAAGACUAAGGGCUUUCUUGCCCCCGUCCCCCGAAGCCCUCUGCGCUGGGCCGAGCUAACCCUGCAGGCAACCAGACAGCUGUUGUAGGUGCUGACGUGAUAAGAAGUUGGACCCUCCAUGGCGCUUGU
Long non-coding RNA from Mirounga angustirostris (Northern elephant seal), 841 nucleotides. RefSeq lists it as uncharacterized. The record is from RefSeq and is a predicted model, not a curated record. NCBI's taxonomy places the organism in Eukaryota, Metazoa, Chordata, Mammalia, Carnivora, Phocidae. The transcript is spliced from 4 exons.